This 273-nucleotide ribosomal RNA is filed under the name uncultured bacterium. Its description in RNAcentral is "partial 16S ribosomal RNA". It matches the Rfam family "Bacterial small subunit ribosomal RNA", at positions 524 to 796 of the family's 1533-position model. The record is from RNAcentral.
UACGACGGGUGCAAGCGUGAAUCGGCCUUACUGGGCGUAAAGCGCGCGUAGGUGGUUUGUUAAGUUGGAUGUGAAAGCCCCGGGCUCAACCUGGGAACUGCAUCCAAAACUGGCAAGCUAGAGUAUGGCAGAGGGUGGUGGAAUUUCCUGUGUAGCGGUGAAAGGCGUAGAUAGAGGAAGGAAAACCAGGGGCGAAGGCGACCACCUGGGCUAAUACUGACACUGAGGUGCGAAAGCGUGGGGAGAACACAGGAGGAGAUACCCCCGGAGUCC